Molecule: long non-coding RNA, 591 nt
Organism: Cryptomeria japonica (Japanese cedar)
Lineage: Eukaryota; Viridiplantae; Streptophyta; Pinopsida; Cupressales; Cupressaceae
Exons: 2
Source: RefSeq, a predicted model, not a curated record
CUCAAAAAAGGUCGUCUGGCUUCGGCGUAAUAAGAAGCCCUAACCCUAGAAUUUUCCAUAAAGGAGGAACUCGAACCCUUAUUUAAAGGCAAGCCAUUCAUUUGCUGCAGAUGCAUCUUAAGUUCUGAGCCUUGAUUAAGAGAGCGGGUUGUAUUGAAACGUUGUUGAAAUGUAACGUUUCAAAAUGAAGAUCCGUAUACCUGGAGGCUAUUGUUUCUUAGAGUGGGUGGAAUUGGAAAGAGAAUAUACUGGUAUUGUGCACCAACCUUACCUCUAAGUUGUUUGUGACAUCAAUAAAUAUCCUCUAGACAUAUUUGACAUUAUUGUAAUGCCCAUUAGGCUCAUUAAUUCUAUAGUUUCCUUUUUUGACUUUCUUGCAUGCAUUUAUUUAUGCAGUUGUAUUAUUGGUGAAUGACUUGUAAGAGCAGCAAAAGUUUUAAAUCUCCAUCAAUUUAUGGACAAUCGGAAAACACGCGAAUGCUAAAAUUUAAUACUGAGGUGUUUAGUGUCCACCAUUUUCUCUAUAAAUGCAUUACAAAUAUGCAAAUGAGAAAUAAAAAUAUCUUGAAAUAUAAAUCAAUAUUUCGCAUC